RNAcentral lists this long non-coding RNA (156 nucleotides) under Chinchilla lanigera (long-tailed chinchilla). RNAcentral's name for it is "lncRNA (ENSCLAG00000027217.1)". Lineage: Eukaryota; Metazoa; Chordata; Mammalia; Rodentia; Chinchillidae. The record is from RNAcentral.
GGAAUUUGGAGGUGAAUGAAUCUAUAUGACAAAUCUUGUACUACAAGUGUUUGUGGUUAACCGAGAAACAUACUAUGAGUCAAGCCUUCGGAAAGAGGAAAUAGCCUGAGUCCGGCCAUGGUUAACGAGGUUGGUGUUUCUGGGAAAAGAUCUCUU